AUUGAUCCUUGCCUUAGUUACUUUUCUCAUUGCUGAGACAAAAUACCCGACACCCAGAGUUAGAAGGGGAAAGGUUUAUUUGGCUCACGGUUCGUAGAGGUUUCAGUCCUUAAUCAGCUGGCUCCAAGGCAGGGUGGCCUGGCAGAGGGGGAACAGUUCAUGGCCAGCAAAAGACAGCAAAAGCAAACAAGCAAGGGAAGUUUAACAGCGUCUUUCUGCCCCUUUCACCCCACCCAGACUACCGGCACUAGGACAGCGUCCAACCAAUCAGUGCACUGGUUUAGUAAUCACGCGCCCUUAGUCCCAGCAUCACAGGCUCUAGAUUCAGCCACCUCUGAAAAGAACACCCAUGAGCGCAUGAGGCUUUGGAGGACGUCUAGACCCAAACCAUCACAACCGUCUUGCUCCGGGGGCUCAGGAGACUAGCUGUCAAAAAGGAGUCCCUAAGACGCAGAGGUCUAUGAGUUUAUGGAAAAGAAGAGGAAGGCCACACAAACAGAACACAGGCCCACAUGACGCGUGGGGAUGGACACGUGCCCAGUGGCGCCUGGGGAAGCUCUGGCAGGUGACUGGGUUGUCCUCCGUGGGGGUCCUCAAGUGGCGGACGCCCUAACAGCUCAACUGUCUGACCUAUGCCUGCCACAAGUGACUAAGGAUAAGGAAAUGCAAAAGAAAAGACAGAAAAGGAAAUAACAGCUCACCAAAGGAGUCUCAACUCUCGGUUGGGCCCCUAAGACAUUUCCACGGGUUGUGGGUCUGGGCAUGGGUUCCCUGGUCCUUGUGUGGGGUACAAAGAUUUGGAAGUAGCUUGUGACGGUAAGGAAAUGAGGGCAGAGUGCACUGAGGCCGCGGUAGUCAUCGGGUGGACUCAGAGCGGGAGGGCUCGCCCUCAGCCUCACUGCUUCCUGGCUGCCUUGGAUGAGCAGCUCCCCUCCGCCAUGCCAUCUCUGCCUUGGGGCCGGCGACCAUGGGCUGAAACCAUGAGGCAGAAGGAGCCCCUCUUCCUCGAAGCUGCGGGUGCUGGGUAUUUUGUCUCAGCGAUGAGAACGUGACCGAGGCUCACAGUGGUGCUGGGCACGGCGAUGACGGCGUGUGGGCCACAGCGCACAUCCGGCCAUGCUGACCGGCACUGCUGAAGCGGGUUUGGGUGGUGCCAAGUGAUGCGAUGGCCUUCUCCACCAGCUCCUGGCCACGCCAGCCUUCUGGUCUAGGGGUAUUGUCACCUCUGUGUCAUCAAUAGUCACAUCUGAGCUCUAGGAAUGUACUUCUCAAUAGCAGAUGACAGCAAAGCGGAAAGACACGCCUCGCUCACGCCAGCCGACUCCUACCAAGACACAGGCCGAUGACACUCACAAAUGUCACCAGGAAAGGAACGGGGUGAAAGGACAGCUGGAACUCAUGGAUCAAGCCAGAAGUUUCUGGAACUGAGCAGGAGGGACAGCACAUUGCAGCAGCAGGUCACGCAGCAGCAGUCUGGGGACGAAAGCCUCCCCGAGACCCCAACUCACAGGACAACCAGUGGC
Molecule: long non-coding RNA, 1523 nt
Filed under: Heterocephalus glaber (naked mole-rat)
Lineage: Eukaryota; Metazoa; Chordata; Mammalia; Rodentia; Bathyergidae
Description: lncRNA (ENSHGLG00000045008.1)
Source: RNAcentral